Molecule: ribosomal RNA, 2931 nt
Filed under: Escherichia coli
Lineage: Bacteria; Pseudomonadati; Pseudomonadota; Gammaproteobacteria; Enterobacterales; Enterobacteriaceae
Description: 23S ribosomal RNA
Rfam family: Bacterial large subunit ribosomal RNA
Source: RNAcentral
GGGUUGUGAGGUUAAGCGACUAAGCGUACACGGUGGAUGCCCUGGCAGUCAGAGGCGAUGAAGGACGUGCUAAUCUGCGAUAAGCGUCGGUAAGGUGAUAUGAACCGUUAUAACCGGCGAUUUCCGAAUGGGGAAACCCAGUGUGAUUCGUCACACUAUCAUUAACUGAAUCCAUAGGUUAAUGAGGCGAACCGGGGGAACUGAAACAUCUAAGUACCCCGAGGAAAAGAAAUCAACCGAGAUUCCCCCAGUAGCGGCGAGCGAACGGGGAGCAGCCCAGAGCCUGAAUCAGUGUGUGUGUUAGUGGAAGCGUCUGGAAAGGCGCGCGAUACAGGGUGACAGCCCCGUACACAAAAAUGCACAUGCUGUGAGCUCGAUGAGUAGGGCGGGACACGUGGUAUCCUGUCUGAAUAUGGGGGGACCAUCCUCCAAGGCUAAAUACUCCUGACUGACCGAUAGUGAACCAGUACCGUGAGGGAAAGGCGAAAAGAACCCCGGCGAGGGGAGUGAAAAAGAACCUGAAACCGUGUACGUACAAGCAGUGGGAGCACGCUUAGGCGUGUGACUGCGUACCUUUUGUAUAAUGGGUCAGCGACUUAUAUUCUGUAGCAAGGUUAACCGAAUAGGGGAGCCGAAGGGAAACCGAGUCUUAACUGGGCGUUAAGUUGCAGGGUAUAGACCCGAAACCCGGUGAUCUAGCCAUGGGCAGGUUGAAGGUUGGGUAACACUAACUGGAGGACCGAACCGACUAAUGUUGAAAAAUUAGCGGAUGACUUGUGGCUGGGGGUGAAAGGCCAAUCAAACCGGGAGAUAGCUGGUUCUCCCCGAAAGCUAUUUAGGUAGCGCCUCGUGAAUUCAUCUCCGGGGGUAGAGCACUGUUUCGGCAAGGGGGUCAUCCCGACUUACCAACCCGAUGCAAACUGCGAAUACCGGAGAAUGUUAUCACGGGAGACACACGGCGGGUGCUAACGUCCGUCGUGAAGAGGGAAACAACCCAGACCGCCAGCUAAGGUCCCAAAGUCAUGGUUAAGUGGGAAACGAUGUGGGAAGGCCCAGACAGCCAGGAUGUUGGCUUAGAAGCAGCCAUCAUUUAAAGAAAGCGUAAUAGCUCACUGGUCGAGUCGGCCUGCGCGGAAGAUGUAACGGGGCUAAACCAUGCACCGAAGCUGCGGCAGCGACGCUUAUGCGUUGUUGGGUAGGGGAGCGUUCUGUAAGCCUGCGAAGGUGUGCUGUGAGGCAUGCUGGAGGUAUCAGAAGUGCGAAUGCUGACAUAAGUAACGAUAAAGCGGGUGAAAAGCCCGCUCGCCGGAAGACCAAGGGUUCCUGUCCAACGUUAAUCGGGGCAGGGUGAGUCGACCCCUAAGGCGAGGCCGAAAGGCGUAGUCGAUGGGAAACAGGUUAAUAUUCCUGUACUUGGUGUUACUGCGAAGGGGGGACGGAGAAGGCUAUGUUGGCCGGGCGACGGUUGUCCCGGUUUAAGCGUGUAGGCUGGUUUUCCAGGCAAAUCCGGAAAAUCAAGGCUGAGGCGUGAUGACGAGGCACUACGGUGCUGAAGCAACAAAUGCCAUGCUUCCAGGAAAAGCCUCUAAGCAUCAGGUAACAUCAAAUCGUACCCCAAACCGACACAGGUGGUCAGGUAGAGAAUACCAAGGCGCUUGAGAGAACUCGGGUGAAGGAACUAGGCAAAAUGGUGCCGUAACUUCGGGAGAAGGCACGCUGAUAUGUAGGUGAAGCGACUUGCUCGUGGAGCUGAAAUCAGUCGAAGAUACCAGCUGGCUGCAACUGUUUAUUAAAAACACAGCACUGUGCAAACACGAAAGUGGACGUAUACGGUGUGACGCCUGCCCGGUGCCGGAAGGUUAAUUGAUGGGGUCAGCGCAAGCGAAGCUCUUGAUCGAAGCCCCGGUAAACGGCGGCCGUAACUAUAACGGUCCUAAGGUAGCGAAAUUCCUUGUCGGGUAAGUUCCGACCUGCACGAAUGGCGUAAUGAUGGCCAGGCUGUCUCCACCCGAGACUCAGUGAAAUUGAACUCGCUGUGAAGAUGCAGUGUACCCGCGGCAAGACGGAAAGACCCCGUGAACCUUUACUAUAGCUUGACACUGAACAUUGAGCCUUGAUGUGUAGGAUAGGUGGGAGGCUUUGAAGUGUGGACGCCAGUCUGCAUGGAGCCGACCUUGAAAUACCACCCUUUAAUGUUUGAUGUUCUAACGUUGACCCGUAAUCCGGGUUGCGGACAGUGUCUGGUGGGUAGUUUGACUGGGGCGGUCUCCUCCUAAAGAGUAACGGAGGAGCACGAAGGUUGGCUAAUCCUGGUCGGACAUCAGGAGGUUAGUGCAAUGGCAUAAGCCAGCUUGACUGCGAGCGUGACGGCGCGAGCAGGUGCGAAAGCAGGUCAUAGUGAUCCGGUGGUUCUGAAUGGAAGGGCCAUCGCUCAACGGAUAAAAGGUACUCCGGGGAUAACAGGCUGAUACCGCCCAAGAGUUCAUAUCGACGGCGGUGUUUGGCACCUCGAUGUCGGCUCAUCACAUCCUGGGGCUGAAGUAGGUCCCAAGGGUAUGGCUGUUCGCCAUUUAAAGUGGUACGCGAGCUGGGUUUAGAACGUCGUGAGACAGUUCGGUCCCUAUCUGCCGUGGGCGCUGGAGAACUGAGGGGGGCUGCUCCUAGUACGAGAGGACCGGAGUGGACGCAUCACUGGUGUUCGGGUUGUCAUGCCAAUGGCACUGCCCGGUAGCUAAAUGCGGAAGAGAUAAGUGCUGAAAGCAUCUAAGCACGAAACUUGCCCCGAGAUGAGUUCUCCCUGACUCCUUGAGAGUCCUGAAGGAACGUUGAAGACGACGACGUUGAUAGGCCGGGUGUGUAAGCGCAGCGAUGCGUUGAGCUAACCGGUACUAAUGAACCGUGAGGCUUAACCUUACAACGCCGAAGGUGUUU